AGUGAACGCUGGCGGUAGGCCUAACACAUGCAAGUCGAACGGCAGCACAGAGGAGCUUGCUCCUUGGGUGGCGAGUGGCGGACGGGUGAGGAAUACAUCGGAAUCUACUCUGUCGUGGGGGAUAACGUAGGGAAACUUACGCUAAUACCGCAUACGACCUACGGGUGAAAGCAGGGGACCUUCGGGCCUUGCGCGAUUGAAUGAGCCGAUGUCGGAUUAGCUAGUUGGCGGGGUAAAGGCCCACCAAGGCGACGAUCCGUAGCUGGUCUGAGAGGAUGAUCAGCCACACUGGAACUGAGACACGGUCCAGACUCUUACGGGAGGCAGCAGUGGGGAAUAUUGGACAAUGGGCGCAAGCCUGAUCCAGCCAUACCGCGUGGGUGAAGAAGGCCUUCGGGUUGUAAAGCCCUUUUGUUGGGAAAGAAAUCCAGCUGGCUAAUACCCGGUUGGGAUGACGGUACCCAAAGAAUAAGCACCGGCUAACUUCGUGCCAGCAGCAGCCGCGG
RNAcentral lists this ribosomal RNA (506 nucleotides) under uncultured bacterium. Its description in RNAcentral is "partial 16S ribosomal RNA". It matches the Rfam family "Bacterial small subunit ribosomal RNA", at positions 29 to 523 of the family's 1533-position model. The record is from RNAcentral.